CUAGUGAGAAUGCCGGCGUGAGUAACGAUAGAAGGUGAGAAUCCUUCUGGCCGUAAGACCAAGGUUUCCAGGGUGAAGGUCGUCUACCCUUCACCAUAAUUACUGAUGGAGCGACAAAGUCAGCUAAGAUAAACCAGUUAUUGAUUCUGGUCCAAGUACAAAGAGGGCAUUGUUGGAAAAUCCGCAAUGUAUAACCUUAAAGUAUGAUGGGUAGGGCAACCGAAUUAUCUGAACGCUUUGCUUUCAAGAAAAACUUCUAAAGAUAUAAUUAUGGUACUCGUACCAAGAACGAACACACGUGGUUGGGGAGAAAAUCCUCAGGCCAGCGAGCAAACUAUAGUUAAGGAACUCGGCAAAUUAACCCCGUAAGUUCGCGAGAAGGGGCACCUGUGAAAACACAGGUCGCAGUGAAGAGGCACGAACGACUGUUUAUCAAAAACACAGCUCUCUGCUAAGGAGCAAUCCGAUGUAUAGGGGGCGACGCCUGCCCGGUGCUGGAAGGUUAAGAGGACGAGUUAGCCGUAAGGUGAAGCUCUGAAUUGAAGCCCCAGUGAACGGCGGCCGUAACUAUAACGGUCCAAAGGUAGCGAAACUCCUUGUCAGGUAAGUUCUGACCCGCAUGAAAGACGUAAUGACUGGUGCACUGUCUCAACUAUAGGCUCGGUGAAAUCUUAGUACCGGUGAAGAUGCCGGUUACCCGCAACUAGACGGAAAGACCCCGUGGAGCUUUACUGCAACUUGAUAUUGGGUUUUUCUCUUGUUUGUACAGGAUAGGUGGGAGACUGUGAGGCUAGGACGCCAGUUCUAGCGGAGUCGUUGGUGGGAUACCACCCUAACAGGCGGAAAAUUCUAACUUAUUGGUUUACAGCCAAAAGGACAGUGUUUGGUGGGUAGUUUGACUGGGGCGGUCGCCUCCUAAAAAGUAACGGAGGUGUUCAUAAGGUAUCCUCAGUAGGUAUAGAAAUCCUAUGUAGAGCGUAAAGGUACAAGGAUGCUUAACUGUGAGACUUACAAGUCGAACAGAUACGAAAGUAGGACUUAGUGAUCCGGCGGUUACCUAGUGGUAGGGCCGUCGCUAAACGGACAAAAGUUACCCCGGGGAUAACAGGCUAAUACUUCCCAAGAGAUCACAUCGACGGAAGUGUUUGGCACCUCGAUGUCGACUCAUCGCAUC
The sequence is a ribosomal RNA, 1174 nucleotides long. It matches the Rfam family "Bacterial large subunit ribosomal RNA", at positions 1285 to 2546 of the family's 2925-position model.